This 148-nucleotide non-coding RNA is filed under the name Gorilla gorilla gorilla (western lowland gorilla). The record is from Rfam by way of RNAcentral. Lineage: Eukaryota; Metazoa; Chordata; Mammalia; Primates; Hominidae.
GCCGGGCAUGGUGGUGCACGCCUGUAAUCCCAGCUACUCAGGAGGCUGAGGCAGAAGAAUCACUUGAACCCGGGAGGUGGAGGUUGCAGUGAGCCAAGAUCGUGCCACUGCACUCCAGCCUGGGCAACAGAGUGAGAUUCUGUCUCAA